Molecule: ribosomal RNA, 429 nt
Filed under: Chloroflexota bacterium
Lineage: Bacteria; Bacillati; Chloroflexota
Description: Chloroflexi bacterium partial 16S ribosomal RNA
Rfam family: Bacterial small subunit ribosomal RNA
Source: RNAcentral
UGGGGAAUAUUGCACAAUGGGCGCAAGCCUGAUGCGGCCAUGCCGCGUGUAUGAAGAAGGCCUUCGGGUUGUAAAGUACUUUCAGCGGGGAGGAAGGGAGUAAAGUUAAUACCUUUGCUCAUUGACGUUACCCGCAGAAGAAGCACCGGCUAACUCCGUGCCAGCAGCCGCGGUAAUACGGAGGGUGCAAGCGUUAAUCGGAAUUACUGGGCGUAAAGCGCACGCAGGCGGUUUGUUAAGUCAGAUGUGAAAUCCCCGGGCUCAACCUGGGAACUGCAUCUGAUACUGGCAAGCUUGAGUCUCGUAGAGGGGGGUAGAAUUCCAGGUGUAGCGGUGAAAUGCGUAGAGAUCUGGAGGAAUACCGGUGGCGAAGGCGGCCCCCUGGACGAAGACUGACGCUCAGGUGCGAAAGCGUGGGGAGCAAACAGG